CCAAUUUUCUCGUCUCCAAGUCUGCCGCCCAAGAGAUUUCCUGGCUUCUUGGCGUUUCAGGUCUCAACGGGAGCCUGAGAAAUUCUCUGCAGAGUGGAGAAAUGCUUCUGGUUGGAUUUGAGAACUGACUGACUGAGAUGGGAUCUCCCUAUGUACCCCCUUGGACUGGCUUGGAACUGGCUAUGUACAUCAAGCAGGCUUCAAAAUUGCACCAAUCCUCCUGCCUUUGCUUCCCCAGUGCUGGAAUUAGAGAAUUUCCCUGAAGACAGACAUGUUUUCCACCGAAUACCUGGUACCUGAGGACACCAGAAUAGGGCAAUGGAUCUCCUGGAACUGGAGUUACAGAACUAAACCCUGAUCCUCUGCAAUAAAAGCAAGUGCCCUUAACUUUCUCUCCAGCUUGUUUUGUUUUUAUCUUACGCUCUCAUCACAGUAACUCUAUUACAAGAACUUUCUGGAGACUAUAAAAACUUCAGAAUUAUUUUAGAAAACAUAAUUAAGGCCUGUAAUCCCAGCACUUGGGAGGCCGAGGCAGGAGGAUUGCUAGUUAUAGGCUCAGUAUAGAGUGUAACACUGUCUCAAAAACCAGAUAAAUAGGCUGGAGAAAUAGCCCAGAGGCUGAGUACAUGUAGCUCUUCAGGAGGACCUGUGUUCAGGUUCUUGCCACAGCAGGAAGCUCCAACUCCAGCUCCAGGGGAUCUGACACCCCUUUCUGGCCUUUGCAGGCACCACAUCCAC
Long non-coding RNA from Meriones unguiculatus (Mongolian gerbil), 738 nucleotides. RefSeq lists it as uncharacterized. The transcript is spliced from 3 exons. The record is from RefSeq and is a predicted model, not a curated record. Lineage: Eukaryota; Metazoa; Chordata; Mammalia; Rodentia; Muridae.